GACGAACGCUGGCGACGCGCCUAACACAUGCAAGUCGAACGGAGUUGAGAGGAGCUUGCUUUUCUUGACUUAGUGGCGAACGGGUGAGUAACGCGUGAGGAACCUGCCUCAAAGAGGGGGACAACAGUUGGAAACGACUGCUAAUACCGCAUAAGCCCACGGUUCUGCAUGGAACUGAGGGAAAAGGAGCAAUCCGCUUUGAGAUGGCCUCGCGUCCGAUUAGCUGGUUGGUGAGGUAACGGCCCACCAAGGCAACGAUCAGUAGCCGGACUGAGAGGUUGAACGGCACAUUGGGACUGAGAUACGGCCCAGACUCCUACGGGAGGCAGCAGUGGGGAAUAUUGCACAAUGGGGGAAACCCUGAUGCAGCGACGCCGCGUGGAGGAAGAAGGUUUUCGGAUUGUAAACUCCUGUCUUCGGGGACGAUAAUGACGGUACCCGAGGAGGAAGCCACGGCUAACUACGUGCCAGCAGCCGCGGUAAAACGUAGGUGGCAAGCGUUGUCCGGAAUUACUGGGUGUAAAGGGCGCGCAGGCGGGCAGGCAAGUCAGUCGUGAAAUGCCGGGGCUCAACCCCGGAGCUGCGAUUGAAACUGCAGGUCUUGAGUAUCGGAGAGGAAAGCGGAAUUCCCAGUGUAGCGGUGAAAUGCGUAGAUAUUGGGAGGAACACCAGUGGCGAAGGCGGCUUUCUGGACAGUAACUGACGUUGAGGCACGAAAGUGUGGGGAGCAAACAGGAUUAGAUACCCUGGUAGUCCACACCGUAAACGAUGGAUACUAGGUGUAGGGGAUGAAUAAUCUUCUGUGCCGUCGCAAACGCAGUAAGUAUCCCACCUGGGGAGUACGGCCGCAAGGUUGAAACUCAAAGGAAUUGACGGGGGCCCGCACAAGCAGUGGAGUAUGUGGUUUAAUUCGACGCAACGCGAAGAACCUUACCAGGGCUUGACAUAUAGAUGAAAGUCUAAGAGAUUAGACCCCUCUUCGGAGCGUGUAUACAGGUGGUGCAUGGUUGUCGUCAGCUCGUGUCGUGAGAUGUUGGGUUAAGUCCCGCAACGAGCGCAACCCCUGUUCUUAGUUGCCAGCACGUAAAGGUGGGGACUCUAAGAAGACUGCCGGUGACAAAUCGGAGGAAGGUGGGGACGACGUCAAAUCAUCAUGCCCUUUAUGUCCUGGGCUACACACGUACUACAAUGGCUGUAACAAAGGGAAGCGAACCCGCGAGGAGGAGCAAAACCCAAAAAAGCAGUCUCAGUUCGGAUUGAAGGCUGAAAUUCGCCUUCAUGAAGCCGGAAUUGCUAGUAAUGGCAGGUCAGCAUACUGCCGUGAAUACGUUCCCGGGCCUUGUACACACCGCCCGUCACACCAUGAGAGUUGGGAAUACCCGAAGCCUGUGAGCUAACUUUUCAAGAGGCAGCAGUCGAAGGUAGAAUCAAUGAUUGGGGUGA
Molecule: ribosomal RNA, 1443 nt
Filed under: uncultured bacterium
Lineage: Bacteria
Description: bacterial SSU rRNA
Rfam family: Bacterial small subunit ribosomal RNA
Source: RNAcentral